GACGAACGCUGGCGGCGUGCCUAAUACAUGCAAGUCGAGCGCAGGAAAUCGACGGAACCCUUCGGGGGGAAGUCGACGGAAUGAGCGGCGGACGGGUGAGUAACACGUAAAGAACCUGCCCUCAGGUCUGGGAUAACCACGAGAAAUCGGGGCUAAUACCGGAUGGGUCAUCGGACCGCAUGGUCCGAGGAUGAAAGGCGCUUCGGCGUCGCCUGGGGAUGGCUUUGCGGUGCAGUAGCUAGUUGGUGGGGUAAUGGCCCACCAAGGCGACGAUGCAGAGCCGACCUGAGAGGGUGAUCGGCCACACUGGGACUGAGACACGGCCCAGACUCCUACGGGAGGCAGCAGUAGGGAAUCUUCCACAAUGGACGAAAGUCUGAUGGAGCAACGCCGCGUGAACGAUGAAGGCCUUCGGGUCGUAAAGUUCUGUUGUAAGGGAAGAACAAGUGCCGCAGGCAAUGGCGGCACCUUGACGGUACCUUGCGAGAAAGCCACGGCUAACUACGUGCCAGCCGCCGCAGUAA
Molecule: ribosomal RNA, 524 nt
Filed under: uncultured bacterium
Lineage: Bacteria
Description: partial 16S ribosomal RNA
Rfam family: Bacterial small subunit ribosomal RNA
Source: RNAcentral